GUGCCAGCAGCCGCGGUAAUACGGAGGGUGCAAGCGUUAUCCGGAUUCACUGGGUUUAAAGGGUGCGUAGGCGGGCAUGUAAGUCAGUGGUGAAAUCUCCGGGCUUAACCCGGAAAUUGCCGUUGAUACUAUGUGUCUUGAAUAUCGUUGAGGUUUGCGGAAUAUGUCAUGUAGCGGUGAAAUGCUUAGAUAUGACAUAGAACACCAAUUGCGAAGGCAGCAGGCUAAACGAACAUUGACGCUGAGGCACGAAAGCGUGGGGAUCAAACAGGAUUAGAUACCCUCGUAGUCC
Molecule: ribosomal RNA, 292 nt
Filed under: uncultured bacterium
Lineage: Bacteria
Description: partial 16S ribosomal RNA
Rfam family: Bacterial small subunit ribosomal RNA
Source: RNAcentral